RNAcentral lists this ribosomal RNA (301 nucleotides) under uncultured bacterium. Its description in RNAcentral is "partial 16S ribosomal RNA". It matches the Rfam family "Bacterial small subunit ribosomal RNA", at positions 509 to 807 of the family's 1533-position model. The record is from RNAcentral.
CAGUCGCCGCGGUAAUACGUAGGGUGCGAGCGUUAAUCGGAUUUACUGGGCGUAAAGCGUGCGCAGGCGGCCCGUUAAGACAGGUGUGAAAUCCCUGGGCUUAACCUGAGAAUUGCUUUUAAGACUGUCGAGCUAGAAUCCAGAAGAGGGUAGUGGAAUUCCGAGUGUAGAGGUGAAAUUCGUAGAUAUUCGGAAGAACACCAGUGGCGGAGGCGACUACCUGGUCUGGCAUUGACGCUCAUGUGCGAAAGCGUGGGGAGCAAACAGGAUUAGAUACCCGCGUAGUCCCUGUCUCUUAUAC